RNAcentral lists this ribosomal RNA (773 nucleotides) under Arenivirga sp. RNAcentral's name for it is "bacterial SSU rRNA". It matches the Rfam family "Bacterial small subunit ribosomal RNA", at positions 68 to 850 of the family's 1533-position model. Lineage: Bacteria; Bacillati; Actinomycetota; Actinomycetes; Micrococcales; Microbacteriaceae. The record is from RNAcentral.
GAUGAAGCUGGAGCUUGCUCUGGUGGAUUAGUGGCGAACGGGUGAGUAACACGUGAGUAACCUGCCCUUGACUCUGGGAUAAGCGCUGGAAACGGCGUCUAAUACCGGAUACGAGCUUCCACCGCAUGGUGAGUUGCUGGAAAGAAUUUCGGUCAAGGAUGGACUCGCGGCCUAUCAGCUUGUUGGUGAGGUAACGGCUCACCAAGGCGACGACGGGUAGCCGGCCUGAGAGGGUGACCGGCCACACUGGGACUGAGACACGGCCCAGACUCCUACGGGAGGCAGCAGUGGGGAAUAUUGCACAAUGGGCGCAAGCCUGAUGCAGCAACGCCGCGUGAGGGACGAAGGCCUUCGGGUCGUAAACCUCUUUUAGCAGGGAAGAAGCGAAAGUGACGGUACCUGCAGAAAAAGCACCGGCUAACUACGUGCCAGCAGCCGCGGUAAUACGUAGGGUGCGAGCGUUGUCCGGAAUUAUUGGGCGUAAAGAGCUCGUAGGCGGUUUGUCACGUCUGCUGUGAAAACUGGAGGCUCAACCUCCAGCCUGCAGUGGGUACGGGCAGACUAGAGUGCGGUAGGGGAGAUUGGAAUUCCUGGUGUAGCGGUGGAAUGCGCAGAUAUCAGGAGGAACACCGAUGGCGAAGGCAGAUCUCUGGGCCGUUACUGACGCUGAGGAGCGAAAGCGUGGGGAGCGAACAGGAUUAGAUACCCUGGUAGUCCACGCCGUAAACGGUGGGCGCUAGAUGUGGGGACCAUUCCACGGUUUCCGUGUCGCA